RNAcentral lists this ribosomal RNA (809 nucleotides) under uncultured Acidobacteriota bacterium. RNAcentral's name for it is "bacterial SSU rRNA". It matches the Rfam family "Bacterial small subunit ribosomal RNA", at positions 8 to 796 of the family's 1533-position model. The record is from RNAcentral. Lineage: Bacteria; Pseudomonadati; Acidobacteriota.
AGAGUUUGAUCAUGGCUCAGAAUCAACGCUGGCGGCGUGCCUCAGACAUGCAAGUCGAACGCGAAAGUCCCCUUCGGGGGACGAGUAGAGUGGCGUCCGGGUGAGUAACACGUGAGUAAUUUGCCUUCGGGUGGGGAAUAACAGCCGGAAACGGCUGCUAAUACCGCAUAACGCAGCGGCACCACAUGGUGACAGUUGUUAAAGCGGGGGAACUUCGGUCCUCGCGCCUGGAGAGGAGCCUGCGGCGGAUUAGCUAGUUGGUAGGGUAACGGCCUACCAAGGCAACGAUCCGUAGCCGGCCUGAGAGGGCGGUCGGCCACACUGGCACUGACAUACGGGCCAGACUCCUACGGGAGGCAGCAGUCGGGAAUUUUGGGCAAUGGGCGAAAGCCUGACCCAGCAACGCCGCGUGAAGGAUGAAGUUUUUCGGAAUGUAAACUUCACAAGAAUGGGAAGAAUAAGUCUGGGCUAAUAUCCCUGACGAUGACGGUACCAUUUGUAAGCUCCGGCUAACUCCGUGCCAGCAGCCGCGGUAAUACGGGGGGAGCAAGCGUUGUUCGGAUUUACUGGGCGUAAAGGGCGCGUAGGCGGCGCAACAAGUCACUUGUGAAAUCUCCGGGCUUAACUCGGAGCGGCCAAGUGAUACUGUCGUGCUAGAGUGCGGAAGGGGCUACUGGAAUUCUCGGUGUAGCGGUGAAAUGCGUAGAUAUCGAGAGGAACACCUGCGGCGAAGGCGGGUAGCUGGGCCGACACUGACGCUGAGGCGCGAAAGCUAGGGGAGCGAACGGGAUUAGAUACCCCAGUAGUCC